GCCGCCAUCGUCUAGCCCGGUCUAGGACGUCGCCCUCUCACGGCGAAAACCCGGGUUCAAAUCCCGGUGGCGGUA
RNAcentral lists this transfer RNA (75 nucleotides) under Candidatus Uhrbacteria bacterium. RNAcentral's name for it is "tRNA-Glu". It matches the Rfam family "tRNA". Rfam says of the family: Transfer RNA (tRNA) molecules are approximately 80 nucleotides in length. Lineage: Bacteria; Candidatus Uhriibacteriota. The record is from RNAcentral.